This 301-nucleotide ribosomal RNA is filed under the name uncultured bacterium. Its description in RNAcentral is "partial 16S ribosomal RNA". It matches the Rfam family "Bacterial small subunit ribosomal RNA", at positions 509 to 807 of the family's 1533-position model. The record is from RNAcentral.
CAGUAGCCACGGUAAUACGUAGGGUGCGAGCGUUAAUCGGAAUUACUGGGCGUAAAGCGUGCGUAGGCGGUUUGUUAAGUCUGCUGUGAAAUCCCCGGGCUCAACCUGGGAAUGGCAGUGGAUACUGGCAAGCUAGAGUGUGUCAGAGGAUGGUGGAAUUCCCGGUGUAGCGGUGAAAUGCGUAGAGAUCGGGAGGAACAUCAGUGGCGAAGGCGGCCAUCUGGGACAACACUGACGCUGAGGCACGAAAGCGUGGGGAGCAAACAGGAUUAGAUACCCCCGUAGUCCCUGUCUCUUAUAC